GUGAAAUUGUUGAAAGGGAAGCGCUUGCAACCAGACCUGCCUGCAGUUGCUCAUCCGUGGCUUUUGCCCGGUGCACUCUUCUGCUGUCAGGCCAGCAUCAGUUCGGGCGGUCGGAUAAAGGCUUCGGGAAUGUAGCUCCUCUCGGGGAGUGUUAUAGCCCGUUGCGAAAUGCGGCCAGCCUGGACUGAGGUCCGCGCUUCGGCUAGGAUGCUGGCGUAAUGGUUGUAAGCGGCCCGUCUUGAAACACGGACCAAGGAGUCUAACAUCUGUGCGAGUGUUUGGGUGUUAAACCCGUACGCGUAAUGAAAGUGAACGGAGGCGGGAACCCCUCGGGGUGCACCGUCGACCGAUCCUGAUGUCUUCGGAUGGAUUUGAGUAAGAGCAUAGCUGUUGGGACCCGAAAGAUGGUGAACUAUGCCUGAAUAGGGUGAAGCCAGAGGAAACUCUGGUGGAGGCUCGCAGCGGUUCUGACGUGCAAAUCGAUCGUCAAAUUUGGGCAUAGGGGCGAAAGACUAAUCGAACUAUCUAGUAGCUGGUUCCUGCCGAAGUUUCCCUCAGGAUAGCAGUAACGUUUUCAGUUUUAUGAGGUAAAGCGAAUGAUUAGAGGCCUGGGGGUUGAAACAACCUUCACCUAUUCUCAAACUUUAAAUAUGUAAGAAGUCCUUGUUGCUCAGUUGAACGUGGACAUUUGAAUGUAUCGUUACUAGUGGGCCAUUUUUGGUAAGCAGAACUGGCGAUGCGGGAUGAACCGAACGCGGAGUUAAGGUGCCGGAAUGCACGCUCAUCAGACACCACAAAAAGU
Molecule: ribosomal RNA, 802 nt
Filed under: uncultured Ascomycota
Lineage: Eukaryota; Fungi; Ascomycota
Description: LSU rRNA
Rfam family: Eukaryotic large subunit ribosomal RNA
Source: RNAcentral